GACGAACGCUGGCGGCGUGCUUAACACAUGCAAGUCGAACGGAAAGGCCCUGCUUGCAGGGUACUCGAGUGGCGAACGGGUGAGUAACACGUGGGUGAUCUGCCCUGCACUUCGGGAUAAGCCUGGGAAACUGGGUCUAAUACCGGAUAGGAGCCAUUUUUAGUGUGAUGGUUGGAAAGUUUUUUCGGUGUAGGAUGAGCUCGCGGCCUAUCAGCUUGUUGGUGGGGUAAUGGCCUACCAAGGCGGCGACGGGUAGCCGGCCUGAGAGGGUGGACGGCCACAUUGGGACUGAGAUACGGCCCAGACUCCUACGGGAGGCAGCAGUGGGGAAUAUUGCACAAUGGGCGCAAGCCUGAUGCAGCGACGCCGCGUGGGGGAUGACGGCCUUCGGGUUGUAAACUCCUUUCGCUAGGGACGAAGCUUUUUGUGACGGUACCUA
Molecule: ribosomal RNA, 439 nt
Filed under: uncultured bacterium
Lineage: Bacteria
Description: bacterial SSU rRNA
Rfam family: Bacterial small subunit ribosomal RNA
Source: RNAcentral